GGAAAACUAUAAUUCUAUAUUGUACGAAUUAUUCGACAAAUUGAAUUCUCAAAAUUGACAAUCAACACUGCUGUCAUUAGGGAAAUGUCAGUAAGUACCUACAGAGCAACCAUUAUUUCUAGUUUAUCCUGCACAAAGACGAUCACUAAGACGCUUGAUGAACGUAAAUAGUGCAGGGAUACAGGCGAGCCCCUCUAUCUGGUAAAUGACGUCAUAAAGGCGUGUAUAAUUGACGAGUUUUUGCCGGUGACGGAUGAACUCGAAAGUGGUCUAUUGAAUUCGAAU
This 285-nucleotide long non-coding RNA is filed under the name Mytilus galloprovincialis (Mediterranean mussel). Lineage: Eukaryota; Metazoa; Mollusca; Bivalvia; Mytilida; Mytilidae. The record is from RNAcentral.